UAGCUAGCUGAUGACAGUGUCUUC
RNAcentral lists this non-coding RNA (24 nucleotides) under Mus musculus (house mouse). Lineage: Eukaryota; Metazoa; Chordata; Mammalia; Rodentia; Muridae. The record is from RNAcentral.